RNAcentral lists this small RNA (29 nucleotides) under Bombyx mori (domestic silkworm). RNAcentral describes it as "ovarian small RNA-30020". The record is from RNAcentral. Lineage: Eukaryota; Metazoa; Arthropoda; Insecta; Lepidoptera; Bombycidae.
UCUGUAGUGCUUGCCAAAUAUAUGAAUGU